GCUCCUUGGCUUUAUGCCUUGAUUCAGACAGUGAGGAUGAGCUAAAACGUUCUGUGGCCCUCAGCCAGAGACUUUGUGAAAUGUUAGGCAACGAACAGCAGCAGGAAGACCUGGAAAAAGUAUUCUGGUUUCUUCUAAAAGUAACUCUCUUCUUCAGGAUUCAAAAUUAUGCCCAAUAGAGCCUGACAAGUCUGAAUUGGAAAACUCAGGAUUUGACAGAAUGAGCGAAGAAGAGCUUCUAGCAGCUGUCUUGGAGAUAAGUAAGAGAGAUGCUUCACCAUCUCUGAGUCAUG
This 293-nucleotide non-coding RNA is filed under the name Pan troglodytes (chimpanzee). The record is from RNAcentral. Lineage: Eukaryota; Metazoa; Chordata; Mammalia; Primates; Hominidae. RNAcentral also lists the same sequence under 1 other name.